Molecule: long non-coding RNA, 224 nt
Organism: Nannospalax galili (Upper Galilee mountains blind mole rat)
Lineage: Eukaryota; Metazoa; Chordata; Mammalia; Rodentia; Spalacidae
Exons: 3
Source: RefSeq, a predicted model, not a curated record
CGGAGGUCACAACACGGGAAAGCCUCUCCGUGCAGCGCGCACUCGCGGUCCCGGGAGGACCGGGAACGGGGGCCCACGCUCACCCCACCCGGCCACCGGCGGAGGAUACAGGAAAGACAAAUGAUUCAAGCAAUAAAGAAUAAAACAGGCUGGAAAGAUGGCUCAAACAGUGUGUUUCCCUGCAUGUAUGUAUGUGUACCACAUGCAUUCCUGAUGCCCAUGGA